RNAcentral lists this ribosomal RNA (220 nucleotides) under uncultured bacterium. RNAcentral describes it as "partial 16S ribosomal RNA". It matches the Rfam family "Bacterial small subunit ribosomal RNA", at positions 114 to 334 of the family's 1533-position model. The record is from RNAcentral.
CGCGUGGGUAACCUGCCCUAUACACAUGGAUAACAUACUGGAAAGUUUACUAAUACAUGAUAAUAUAUAUUUACGGCAUCGUAGAUAUAUCAAAGUGUUAGCGGUAUAGGAUGGACCCGCGUCUGAUUAGCUAGUUGGUGAGAUAACUGCCCACCAAGGCGACGAUCAGUAGCCGACCUGAGAGGGUGAUCGGCCACAUUGGAACUGAGACACGGUCCAA